Long non-coding RNA from Dioscorea cayenensis subsp. rotundata (Guinea yam), 820 nucleotides. RefSeq lists it as uncharacterized. The transcript is spliced from 2 exons. NCBI's taxonomy places the organism in Eukaryota, Viridiplantae, Streptophyta, Magnoliopsida, Dioscoreales, Dioscoreaceae. The record is from RefSeq and is a predicted model, not a curated record.
UCUCUCUCUCUCUCUCUCUCUCUCUCUCUCGUGUCUGUGCCCUAGUUUGCUCCCGUCCACCGCAUCCCCUCUCUCUUGCAUCACCGCUCCCGACUGUCGCUUCCCUCUCUCUUGUGGCAAGAGUGCCCGGCAGCCGUUCCUCUCUCUGUUGUGCCCCCAUCCUGGCAGUCGCUCCCCACUGUCGUGUGCCUCCGCUGUCGGCCACCGAUCAUCAUUCUUUCUAUCGUGUGAUGUAGCUCCCGGCCGCCGCUAUCCUUUCUCCUAUGCCCCAACUCCGGGCUGUCACUCCCUUUCUCCUGUGGACUAGCUUUGGGCCACUGCUCUCCUCUCUCUCGUGCCGCCACUCCACACUCUCGUGGCCCAGUCACCGGUCGACGCUCCCUGUCAUUCUCGUCGAGAAUCAGUGUUGUAUACCAUUUCCAACUAUCAGUCAUAUUUCACAUUCAAGAAAGGUGAAGAUUCAUCACCUUCUUAUUUGAAGCCGCUGGUGGUGCCUGAUUUCAUCGUGAUCUUUUCUUGGAUGAUGUGUAUUUCUUGUAUGGUUGCUUUGCAUUCUCUAUAUUUGGCUGUCCUUAUGGGGAUUCGGAGAGCAAGAUGAUUUUAUAAAAAUUCCUUCUUUGAGAUCUCUGUUUGCGGUUCCCCUAUUCAGGGAGACAUAUUUUUAUUAAGGUAGUGUCUAUUAAUCAUUUGUGCUAUGAGACCCAUAUUUAGCUUCUAAGUUCCAAUUCAGUGGUACUUUGAUAUGUAAGAAGCUUUAUAGCUCUGCAUUACAUGUAAUGCAGGUUGUUUCUAUGAAAACAUUUCUUUUUUUUCCUUUGAA